RNAcentral lists this ribosomal RNA (375 nucleotides) under uncultured bacterium. RNAcentral's name for it is "bacterial SSU rRNA". It matches the Rfam family "Bacterial small subunit ribosomal RNA", at positions 524 to 898 of the family's 1533-position model. The record is from RNAcentral.
UACGUAGGGAGCGAGCGUUGUCCGGAUUUACUGGGUGUAAAGGGUGCGUAGGCGGCUCUGCAAGUCAGGUGUGAAAACCAUCGGCUUAACUGAUGGACUGCAUUUGAAACUGUGGGGCUUGAGUGAAGUAGAGGCAGACGGAAUUCCCGGUGUAGCGGUGAAAUGCGUAGAGAUCGGGAGGAACACCAGUGGCGAAGGCGGUCUGCUGGGCUUUAACUGACGCUGAGGCACGAAAGCAUGGGUAGCAAACAGGAUUAGAUACCCUGGUAGUCCAUGCCGUAAACGAUGAUUACUAGGUGUGGGGGGUCUGACCCCCUCCGUGCCGGAGUUAACACAAUAAGUAAUCCACCUGGGAAGUACGACCGCAAGGUUGAA